CAGCACCUCAAGUGGUCAAGAUGAUUAUUGGGCCUAAAGCAUCCGUAGCCGGCGCUGUAAGUUUUCGGUUAAAUCUGUACGCUCAACGUACAGGCUGCCGGGAAUACUGCAGCGCUAGGGAGUGGGAGAGGUAGACGGUACUCGGUAGGAAGGGGUAAAAUCCUUUGAUCUAUUGAUGACCACCUGUGGCGAAGGCGGUCUACCAGAACACGUCCGACGGUGAGGGAUGAAAGCUGGGGGAGCAAACCGGAUUAGAUACCCGUGUAGUCC
RNAcentral lists this ribosomal RNA (270 nucleotides) under uncultured archaeon. RNAcentral's name for it is "partial 16S ribosomal RNA". It matches the Rfam family "Archaeal small subunit ribosomal RNA", at positions 477 to 747 of the family's 1478-position model. The record is from RNAcentral.